AAAGGGGGACGAUGUCGAUUUGGAGGUUGUGCCCUUGAGGCGUGGCUUCCGGAGCUAACGCGUUAAAUCGACCGCCUGGGGAGUACGGCCGCAAGGUUAAAACUCAAAUGAAUUGACGGGGGCCCGCACAAGCGGUGGAGCAUGUGGUUUAAUUCGAUGCAACGCGAAGAACCUUACCUGGUCUUGACAUCCACAGAACUUAGCAGAGAUGCUUUGGUGCCUUCGGGAACUGUGAGACAGGUGCUGCAUGGCUGUCGUCAGCUCGUGUUGUGAAAUGUUGGGUUAAGUCCCGCAACGAGCGCAACCCUUAUCCUUUGUUGCCAGCGGUUAGGCCGGGAACUCAAAGGAGACUGCCAGUGAUAAACUGGAGGAAGGUGGGGAUGACGUCAAGUCAUCAUGGCCCUUACGACCAGGGCUACACACGUGCUACAAUGGCAUAUACAAAGAGAAGCGACCUCGCGAGAGCAAGCGGACCUCAUAAAGUAUGUCGUAGUCCGGAUUGGAGUCUGCAACUCGACUCCAUGAAGUCGGAAUCGCUAGUAAUCGUAGAUCAGAAUGCUACGGUGAAUACGUUCCCGGGCCUUGUACACACCGCCCGUCACACCAUGGGAGUGGGUUGCAAAAGAAGUAGGUAGCUUAACCUUCGGGAGGGCGCUUACCACUUUGUGAUUCAUGACUGGGGUGAAGUCUAAAAGGGGUAACCAAAAAUUUUUUUUUCUUCGGUUGGGGGGG
RNAcentral lists this ribosomal RNA (732 nucleotides) under Klebsiella pneumoniae. RNAcentral describes it as "bacterial SSU rRNA". It matches the Rfam family "Bacterial small subunit ribosomal RNA", at positions 798 to 1533 of the family's 1533-position model. The record is from RNAcentral. Lineage: Bacteria; Pseudomonadati; Pseudomonadota; Gammaproteobacteria; Enterobacterales; Enterobacteriaceae.